Molecule: ribosomal RNA, 388 nt
Filed under: uncultured bacterium
Lineage: Bacteria
Description: bacterial SSU rRNA
Rfam family: Bacterial small subunit ribosomal RNA
Source: RNAcentral
GACGAACGCUGGCGGCGUGCCUAACACAUGCAAGUCUAAGGAGAAAAGGGUAGCAAUAUCCUGAGUAAACUGGCGCACGGGUGAGUAACACGUAGGCAAUCUGCCUUUAGGACGGGAACAACCACGCGAAAGCGUGGCUAAUACCCGAUAAUGCAGCGGCACCGCAUGGUGACAGUUGUUAAAUCCCGCAAGGGGCCUAUUGAUGAGCCUGCGUCCCAUUAGGUAGUGGUGAGGUAACGGCUCACCAAGCCUGCGAUGGGUAGCUGGUCUGAGAGGAUGAUCAGCCACACUGGAACUGAGACACGGUCCAGACUCCGUACGGGAGGCAGCAGUGAGGAAUAUUGCGCAAUGGCCGAAAGGCUGACGCAGCGACGCCGCGUGAAGGAUG